Molecule: non-coding RNA, 2385 nt
Organism: Equus caballus (horse)
Lineage: Eukaryota; Metazoa; Chordata; Mammalia; Perissodactyla; Equidae
Source: RefSeq, a predicted model, not a curated record
UGGGUCAUAUAUAGUUCAAUGCAAGCUGAGCAGACAGGGCUGCGAGGAAAUCUGGCGCGGUUCAAUACCUCGUCUAGCCUGGGUUCCAGUAUCUAAUUUUUUUUACUGACAAACUCAUUUCUCUACCGGGACAGGAUGCUGUGCUGGCUGGAAGUUCCAUUUCUACAACAAGAAUCCUAUCUGGAAACACAGAAGUUGUCCUCUAGCCACAGCAGCUCGAACUUUUUUGAUUGUUGUUGCUGCUUUCUCCCAUCACCCCUACCCCCUUUUGACAAAGAUCCAACUGUAAAAAGUCUUACGUAACAGUUCAGGACUACUUCGGUUCUUUUACUGGUAUAUCAAGAGGCCUCAAGAGGACUAUGAAAACAUUUACAUCUCUAAGCUGGAGCAAAGCGGGUUUCAAUAUUUUAUAUAUUGAAUAUUUAUAUACCUCUGGAAAAGGAAAGAAAGGAGGUAAGUAAAAUAAUAAGGGAUGGCAUGGUGAGUUUUGACAACUAAAUCAAGAAUUAAAUAGUUGGACUAAUUUAUUAAAUGUGUAGCUUCUAUAACUCUUGGUUAAUUUAACCCUUAACUUUUUUAACCCUUAAGAUUUUACCCUUGCAUUGAGUACAUAAACCUCUUAGCCAAACUCAUUUAAAAGACCCAAUGUGUGCUUCAAAUUUGCUUGAUGAUAAAAAUUUAAAUUAAGGACUUAAAGCAAAUCAAAGGAAUGAGGAUGAUGAUGGCCUUUAUUGCCCUGAAAUACAUCAUUCUAGAAACCUACCUUUCACUCUUCUCUAGUUUUUCAAGUCUAUGAAAAACAUUCUUCUGAGAAUGCCAUGAAUUUACGCAAUGGUAUUUUGUAAACAAGUAAUGGUUGGGGGUAGCAGAAGUCAGUAUUUUUUUUUAAGUCUGAAUAUUUAUCCAAAUGGUAUAAGACACUGACAUCUCUUCAUAUUAUCAGGCCAAGGGGAAGACCGUUUAACAUAAACCCAUUAAAGAGUUUCUAAAAUAUCACACAGUAACAGUUGCUUGAUUUUUUGUUGUCGUUUGUACACAAUUUACUGUCAUAACACUAAGAACUCAACAAAGCUGGCUAACUGGAGUGUUCUGACAGAGGGUGAAAUAAUUAAACUGAUGUAGAAUGCAAACAGUUAACAUUCAAACCAAAUUCUCAGUGGUUGAUUUUUUUAAUGUGUACCAUUCGGCUGCUUUAAAAAUGAAUCUGAGAACAGUCAAUCUUUAAUAUUUAAACCUAAAUCAAGUGGUAGUAACCACCCCUGAUUAACCUCAAUUCAGCCAGCAGUUUUGUAAGCCCUUAUUAUACUGAGCACUCCUGGAUCCUUCCUAUUAUAAAUCCUAUAUUUGAAAGUUCCACGUAAUUAAUUGAUUUUCCAGAUUUUUCAUCAAGGAGAUUCAACGGCCAAAAAAAAUAACCAGUGUGUCUACAAUGCACUGACACCCUUUCUGCCAAAAGCGAAAACACUUGACAUUUUAGUUUCUCUCUGUGCCAGAGAGUAUGCAGGAAGAGAAAUGCAUGCUUUCUCUUAGUGGGAUUUUUUUUGUUCAUUUUUUGCUUUUUCAAUAUGUAAAAUAACUUACAGACUACCAUCAAACCUCUGUGGUAACUUAGUGAUCCAGGAUCUUGGCUAGGGAGAUGACCAGUUAUGAAGGUCAGUUUUUUUCAUCUUCUACCAAACACUUCACCAACAGAGUUACCUCCUAUUAUUACAGGCAAACAAGAAGAGGAUGCUUACUUGUUUGACUUAAUUCUCACUGAAGACUUCACCCCAGAUACAUAACACAAAGAUUUCUUUUAGAUGCAAGACUUACCUAUAUCUGGCUGAAAAGCAGAUGGAAGAAUCCACAGUGGAAAAGGAAGAUGGACGAUUUUUAUCAAGAAAGGGGACCCGUAGAAAGCACAGCUGCAGGGAUAGUAAAAAACAGUCUCCAGGUCCAUGGUGAAAGUGGUCACUUUGGAGGGCAGACACAUCAGCCUCAGAGAAUGAAAACAAUGAAAGACUCCCAGCCUACUCUUGUUCUCUCAGGCUGUAUCUCAAUAGGAUUCAACUGGACCUUGUGGAUUCCCUGUCUUGGCAAGGGGCCUGAUGGAGUAGACAUUCAAUAAAUGUUUGUCAAAUGAAUUUCCUUAUGAUUUCUGGCACAAUUAUGUUUAUAACUUAGGAAGUGGUCUGCUCCUUGAAUCAAGCACAGGAUACCUUCAAGCCACCUGUGCCAUGAAUUACAGUUCUAAGCCGGGUAUAAUUUGAAAGCUAUCAGAUAUCUGGACAAACCUACCUUGAUUACACUUGCAACAGAACCUCUGAACUUACACUGUAGGCCAACUUCACCUCCUAUUCUUCAGACUAAACCUACUGAAAAUUCACGCAACCAAUCAAAAUCACA